This 140-nucleotide small nucleolar RNA is filed under the name Ochotona princeps (American pika). RNAcentral's name for it is "Small nucleolar RNA SNORA74 (ENSOPRG00000022182.1)". The record is from RNAcentral. Lineage: Eukaryota; Metazoa; Chordata; Mammalia; Lagomorpha; Ochotonidae.
CCCAGCUGUAGGUAACUGCCUAAGUUGCCUUGUACCCAAACAAGUGUUACACUGCUGGGAGAAAAGCAGCCAGUAGCUGGUGGGCAUUCUGGGCCUGGUACAUGCCAAAUUUGGGUUAACCAUACCAGUGUGCCAGCAUA